UCCCCCAGGGCGCCAAACAGGCUAGGACCGCCACUGGUUGGUGUGCCUGUUCCAGUUUUUCCAGUUCUAAUUUAUCUAUUUGUUUCUGGAAUGUUUCUAUUCUGGCUUUUUUUGCAAAUGGUGAAAGAAAUGCUGGUCAGACCUCCUGAAAGCCUCAGUUCUCAGCCUCAGUUCUCUCAAUAUAAGUACGUAAAGUGAUAACUGGAGAGAGUGUGUCAUGCUCCAAUGCACGAGAAGGCCAGAUUUGGCUUUGAUCCAUUGUGUGACCCCAGAAUUAUCAGAUGUGAUUUGGGUGCUUGUUUGUUUACUGAAAGGGCUCGCCUUUGUAACAGGUAGAGAGAAAAGAGAGCACAGGGGUGCUCAGAUUUGUGAAUAAGAGGAAAUGACUGUCAUUUGAAACCUAAAGAUUAGUGUUUUGGGCACUAUGGUGGCACUAAAAAAAUAGUCUGUUCAUCUUUUAUAUACAGGUUAUAGAUGAGACAGGACUCAAACCUUUUCUGUGUUAAACUUUGACUGUCUCUGUUUUUAACACAGGCAGACUCAUAAAAUUGGAUAAUUUCUCUCACCGAAACUGAAACACACUCUUUGAUGGCACAUUAGUACAAUGAGCCACACAGUAGCCGUUUCUCUACCCAAACAGCACCCCCCCUGUGGAGCGAGUAUCUGCUCUUAACCCAGAGCUAUUUCAGCAACUUCACUGUGUCCAGGGUGUCUGAGCACGCUCAGUGCUGUCCGAGACGGCAGAUUGGUGUCUCACCCGGCUCUGCCAGGAAUAGAGGAGGAUAUGUUGGAUAUCUUCACGCAGCAGUGUCACUUCCUGCAUCAGUGCGGUCAUUCGGAGAAGUCGACUGCCCUGUUUCAGGCAAUGACUGACUUUACCUUCUUCAAGCCUGACAGCGUGCGAGAGCUGUCCACUCCGCAGCAGGUAUAAUAAUAAAAACUCAAUUCUGCCCUCCUGUAGUUAAAUUUCUGCCUCCCUGAAUAAGAAUAAGAAUAAGAAACAAAAAUCACACCACAAAAUGGGCAGUGAUAGGUCGAGCUCUUAGAGCUGUUCUGGGACAGCGGGGAGGCCAGGGUCGGGGAGCUGGGUGCCAGAGGCUAAAGAGCUUGGAUGAUCCAACACGAACGAGGAGGUUGGCUACAACCCACUGCAGUCCAAGACGACCUGAUGGGAGAGAAGCUGAGGUUGAGACGUCUGGUUAGCUGCUACGCUCCUUUCCAGCAGCCAACACAGUCUACACCCAGGUUAGAGAGAAGAUGGAAGAACUAUACUGCACGUUAACAGCUGAACAGCAGCUGAACAGCAGCAAGGAGGGUAAGCUCGCGAGAGCUGACGCUGACUCAAACAGGCCCUGUGCCAGCAGGGUCGCUGCUGAGUGUGAGGCGUUGGCCGUGCAGCAGGCGGCACUGCUAAAGUACCACAACAGCGUCGCUGUGUUUCCUCUGGUGACACUGAGACAAACGCUGACAUCGGCCCUCCCAGUCUGGACCACCAGCGUCCCUCUCUGGAGCAUUUAUCUACAGGUCAGGCUAAUAAAAGCACAUUUUUCCUCAUUCUUCUCUAGAUGUGUUUCUCAAAGCCUUUUGAGCCCUGACCUUAUUUGUUUAUUUUGGCCUGACUGACAAACAUCAGACAGCAGGAUCACAUCAAAUUUCACAUAUCAUUUAUAUCCUUGUUUCCAAAAAAGUAAAACGCCAUGUAAACUACAAAUAAAAACAGAAGGUGAUGAUUUUGAAAAUAUUUACAAAAACUACAUUUAAAUAGCUCAUUUCAAAAAAGGGUUCGGUGUUUGUUUCUAAUAUUAAUCUAAAAGCAAACAGGAUGAUUUGUCUUAAAUGCAUUUAUGCUUUUGCUUCUAACCUUGAGACAACAAAACUGAUCAAAAUUCAGUUAUCUAAUA
Oreochromis niloticus (Nile tilapia) is the source of this 1901-nucleotide long non-coding RNA. RefSeq lists it as uncharacterized. Lineage: Eukaryota; Metazoa; Chordata; Actinopteri; Cichliformes; Cichlidae. The transcript has 3 exons. The record is from RefSeq and is a predicted model, not a curated record.